GCUAAUUUGACUCAACACGGGGAACCUCAUCAGGCCAGGACACCGGAAGGAUUGACAGAUUGAGAGCUCUUUCUUGAUUCGGUGGGUGGUGGUGCAUGGCCGUUCUUAGUUCGUGGAGUGAUUUGUCUGCUUAAUUGCGAUAACGAACGAGAUCCUACCCUACUAACUAGUCGAAACCGGCAUCCCCUGUGCAGCCGGCGACCAACACUCUUCUUAGAGGGACAGGCGGCUUCCAGCCGCAGGAAGUGGGGCAAUAACAGGUCUGUAAUGCCCUUAGAUGUUCUGGGCAGCACGCGCGCUACACUGAAGGGAUCAACGUGUGUUUUCCUUGCUCGAGAGGGCCGGGUAACCCGUUGAAACUCCUUCGUGCUAGGGAUUGGGGCUUGCAAUUAUUCCCCACCAACGAGGAAUGCCUAGUAAGCGGGAAUCAUUACUUCCUGCUGAUUAAGUCCUGAAUA
This 458-nucleotide ribosomal RNA is filed under the name Mitius enatus. RNAcentral's name for it is "SSU rRNA". It matches the Rfam family "Eukaryotic small subunit ribosomal RNA", at positions 1188 to 1652 of the family's 1831-position model. The record is from RNAcentral. Lineage: Eukaryota; Metazoa; Arthropoda; Insecta; Orthoptera; Gryllidae.